CGAGGAUUCCUCCAGUAACGGCGAGUGAACGGGGAAAAGCCCAGCGCUGAAUCCAUUGGCCACUGGUCGCUUGGAAUUGUAGCGUAUAGGUGCGGUUGUCCGUUCGUUUCGCGCACCCAAAGUCCCCUUGAGUGGGGCUAUAGUCCGAAGAAGGUGCUAGACCUGUACGGGUGGCGAGACGAUCGGUUGAUUGCUCCUUGGAGUCGGGUUGCCUGGGAUCGCAGCCCAAAGUUGGUGGUAGACUUCAUCUAAGGCUAAAUAUGGCCACGAAACCGAUAGCAAACAAGUACCGUGAGGGAAAGUUGCAAAGAACUUUGAAGAGAGAGUUCAAGAGGGCGUGAAACCGCUGAGAUUGAAACGGAUAGAGUUGACUGAACUCGGCUGCAUUCAUCCGGUCGGUCUAGCGGUCCGAUCGUUUUGACUUCCUCGAAGAGGGCGAAGCCGUCGGUAACUGUUGGGCAUUUGAUCGGUGUAUUUGCGGCUGGUAUGCGCUGAGAGCUUUGCGAUCGCGUGUUGACAAACGCGCAGUGGACCAUUCCUUACGGGCGUGGAACCCUUCGCGCUUUGAGACAUGUCGGUUGUAGGGUUUCGAACGUGGCGUCUCCGCUAUGGUGCGUCAGCUUUUUCGAGCUGUUGUGGCUGCCGGGUGGUCGCGUGCGACUGUCUGCAGUCAUCGAUGGUUCGACAGGAGUGUGGACGCGGCGAGGCGUUGAUCUCGGUGUGAACGUCGACCACCUAUCCGA
Molecule: ribosomal RNA, 743 nt
Filed under: Toxocara cati (cat roundworm)
Lineage: Eukaryota; Metazoa; Nematoda; Chromadorea; Rhabditida; Toxocaridae
Description: eukaryotic LSU rRNA
Rfam family: Eukaryotic large subunit ribosomal RNA
Source: RNAcentral